This is a long non-coding RNA of Bombus terrestris (buff-tailed bumblebee), 6074 nucleotides long. RefSeq lists it as uncharacterized. The record is from RefSeq and is a predicted model, not a curated record. Lineage: Eukaryota; Metazoa; Arthropoda; Insecta; Hymenoptera; Apidae. The transcript is spliced from 6 exons.
GCUCAAACUAUAACAGACAAAUUCACAUUUGACAUUUUAAACGCGCGAAACCAUCAAAGUAUAUUUCAAUUACCCACCAUAAGCAGGCUGCGGAUAUUUAUGUAAAUUUUUAGAGAUAUAACCAAGGAAGCGAAAUUUAAGCAACGAUUCGUUUCAUCUAUUGAAUACUAUAACCAGUUUUAUACUUUAAAUAAUUUGUACAAUUAUAUAUAUAUAUUUUUCUGCACGCUUAAAUUUCCUCUAAGCGAAUAAUCGCACUUUUAAGUUUCCCACAAAUACAUCUUCGCACGUUCAGACUUCCAACGAGUGUAUUUCUGCCCUCUUAAAUUUUCCAUGAACGCGUCUUUACAACUUUAGGUUUCUCAUAAAUGCAUCCUUGCACCCUUAAAUAUCACAUAAGCGCAUCUUUGCCCUUUUAAAUUUUCCAUAAAUGUAUUUUUGUAACUUUGAGUUUCUCGCAAAUAUAUCUUUCCACUAUUAAAUUUCCCUUAAGCGUGCCUUUGCCUUUUGAAACUUUCCAUGAGUUCUUUUGUGCACUAUUUCCAUAAAUGCAUAAACAUCCGCAGUUUAUGCCAUGAUGCAUUCAGAAAGCGGGCAACGGAGGAUAUUAAAUAAUACCGAGUAAUUCUUAUAAUUCCGAGUUAUCUGACCUUUUUGGCAGCUUCCUCCGUCUCCUUCAUAGCCCUCAGCUCCUGCUUGAAGCCUUCCUUCUCGCAAGCUUGGACCACUUCCGGUGGUUCGCAUCGUUCGGCGCCACGCAGCUUUCAUACGUGUCCUCGACGAAUACCUGAAGACGGAGCACUUCCUCGGAACAAACGGAAUCGCGGAACAACGUUUCUAGAAGCUCGUUCGCGUAACUUUCCAAUUCCGCGGCUCUAGCUUCGAGUUUGCGAAUGGUAUCCUAAAUUUGUCAUCGAGAAUUCUAAAGAUUCUAAAGAUUCUAAAGAAGAAGAAGUGUUUCUCGUUGAUCGUGUUGGUUAUCUCCGUAACUUCCGCCUGGAUCUGUUCUUCAGCGGACUGAAUCGUCACCAUCAAUUCAGACAUCGGCUUUGCCAGAGACUCCAAGUGAAUCAACGCGUUCAGAUUUUGCGUUUCUAUCGCUCUGAACACGUAGAUCAGUUCAAAUGGAUCUUCGAAGUAUAUAUUUGUCGGACCUGCCUUGUUGAUGUCUUGCUCGAACAAGUCUAAAAAUACGAAGCAAUAAUUUUCAGUACUUCGAUGCGAAGAAUACAAAUAUUCUAACUAACAAUUUGUUCGUUAAAUAUUACUACUAAAUGUUUCUCACUACAAAAUUACAACUAGUGAUUUGGAUAUUUUACACAUCUUUGCAUAUUCUGUCGCGUUGUUUUAUAUUGUUAGAAUUUCCUGUCGUUUAGAAUUGUCUAUAAUUGUACGAACAUCCGUGAUCUAGUCAAAGCUAAGAAACGUUCUUGAAGAUUAUUCCAAGACUCCUAUCGCAACGAUGAAUGAAACAUAAAUCUCGAAAGGAAAAAGGUAAGUAUAAAGGUAUGAAAUAAUUAAUAAAACCUCUAUGCAAGACAUUAACGAAAUAUCUUCUAGCAUAGAAUCUUUUCCCAAGGUAAAGAAAACAUACAAAUGUAGAAUAAUACGAAUUACCUAUGAGAACGUCAAGCGAAGCAACUUCGUCAACCAUUCUGUAUCGACCGAAUAAAUCGUCAGCUCUGUGAAGGAUGCUUUCUCCAGAAUCAGUGCGAUGAAUCCAGUCGUGUUCCGCCCGCCAAGCGAGCGGAGACACCUGAUAGAGGAAUCUUUGACACAUCUUCACUGUCCUCCAGCUCUCCUCCCAAUGAUACACGUCCAGUCUGACCUUACCGUACUCUGCAGAAAGCUUGUUCCUCCUGUCUGUGAUCUGCUUAGUCUUCUUUAUCUCGUUUUCAGCCAACUGUAGAAUCUUCAUGCUCUCCUCGUGAUCCGUCGAAAGGAACUCCUCGAAACCGCUCACGUAUCGACGGUAUCGUCGCUGGUAGGAUAAAUGAAACAUAUAGUAUUGAUGAGGAAUAGAUACUAGAGAUUUGGAUGAAAAAAUAAUUAUUAGAAAUUUGAAUGAAGAAUGAGAUAUUAGAGGGAAUUUGCAAUUUUUCCUAUUUAAUCUUUCAAUGUUGAUUGAAUUAUGGAAACGAGAUUGUAAUAUAUAAAAUAUAUAUCUGUCUACAAUUUAGCGCUAUGUUUAGAGACUUUAUAUCCUAGCUAAGGAAAUAAGUAAGAAUAAAGAGGGAAAAAAUUAUUUUAUUGCCAGGAAAUAAAUCAUCAUUCUUUAAAUUACUGGAAAAUAUAAACUAAGAAUGCAUAUCCUAUUUGUAAUGUCCUAGACAUUCUAAUAUAAGACGUAGGAAUUUGGUACGUAUCAAUAUGAGAUUUAUCAUAGAAACAUUAUUCUGGUACUUAUUAUCUUUUUCUUGUUAUAUAUUAAUAACAAAUUUAUGGUUUUAGAUCUGCAAAGACAGACCUUGAUCUCAUCGAGUCGUUUCUGCUCCUCGACGAACUGUUGGUCUAUACGAAUACAAUCGUCCAUUUCUUGUCCAGCCAGCAACCGAACCUUUAAUAUCUCACGAGUGUCUUCUACAUAGUUGCGCACAGAAAAUUUUUCUCUGAUUAAUCCUCCAUCCAAUUCCGAGAAAUACUGCGGAUCUACGUCGGUCAUGGCUAUAGCUUCUUCCAAAUCUUUGUGUUUCUUCGCCUCUAGAGUCUCGAUGUCCACGUCCACCUUGCAACAUAAUCGUACAACUCGUAUCAAGUAAGGAAAUUCUUCUGAAAUCGAAUAAUCAAAGUUCAAUCAGUAAUUAAACGUUCACAGGCUUAAAAAUCUUUAUAAUAAAUUGAUUAAAUUUACUUGCGAUUUUAUAUUUUCUAAUUUAAAACUUAUUAUUAAUUUUAUAUAUUUCUAUACUUUAGAGUAUUUUUCUUCCUAGCUAUAGUAAACAUUUAGAUUGAAUUCUACGACAAAUCAUAGAAAUAUUUAUACUCUCGCAAUUAUUGAGUACGAAUGAUUAAUAUCUUUUAAUAUAUUCUGCAAUGUAUAUUAAUAGAAAUGUAUGAUAUGGUGUAAUAAUUAAGUCUCUGAUUGAUAUAUCGUUUAUCGCAAAAUAGCAAAUAUUCGCAAUAUAAGUAAGUAGACAUUUUUUAAACAAAUUGUCGAAUUCAAUAAUUGUAAGAGUACGAUUCCCUGUAUAGUCUGCAUGUACUAAGAUCACACAUCAAAAUUGUAAUUCCUUACACGAAGUCUCCGUAGAAGAUCGUACGAGUCUUUGGCUUUGAAGACAUCCAUUCUUCGUUCUUUAUCUGUGGUACGUUUUUUCGCCUUCCAAUAUUGAAAAUAAGAGAACAUGAGCGAACAAGGAGGAUAGACGAAUGGAGAUUGCUCCUCCAGGACAUUCCUAGCUUCUCCCAAGUGUUCAUGGCCCUUGGUAAAAUAAUUCUGUGAUCUAAAAAGUACAGAUUUCAAUGAUCGUAAUUUAAAAGAUCACUCUGCAUGAUAACUAUACCGCCGAUUUUUAUUUAAGGCGCGAACAUGCAUAGAAUGCACAUAAUAAGCAAAAUAUCUAAAAUAAUGUACUCGCUACGUCAUACAGUAGAUAAAAUAAACUUUUAAUCACGUUCCAUUUUUUCAAUUAUGUGUAUGUAUAAAACAUAAAAUUGCACAAACGUUACCAAUACAUUUAUUUGUUAAUAAAUUAAUUCAAAAGUAUAUAGUAAUAUACGUUAAAAAUAUAAUAUUGCAUAUAAAAAAGGGUUGAACUGCACCCCCUAUAUUUUCACAUGCAAUAUUCGAUACAUUAUUAAAUCUUCUGUACAAGACACCCUGUAUAAAGAUUUAAAACUUCUCCAAAUAUAAAGCUGCAAAGUGUUUAUCAUUUCACAGGGGCGCUCUUACCUGAAGAAGCCUUUCUGAGACUUUCUGGUGGACGCUGAUUUCUUUCGGGUCUUCUGGCUGAUCUGGCGUCGUCUAGAAGAUGUCGACGUUGGAUCGGUCAUGUCUCCCGUAAUUCAGCUCAGCGUGCUUUAUUCAAACUGUCAGCUUUUCACCUGGUCGGCCGUUCACCUGCGUCGCUGUAGAAAAAGCUCCGCUUUUCAUUUGAUCGCAAUGGUCAAAGGCAAGCAGCAACAGAGAUGGCUCGCGUUUGCAUAAAACUUUUCUCUUCUCAAAUGUCUCAAGAAGAAUUGAAACACUGAAGAGUCUACCAAAGAACAAGAUUAUCGAGGAGCUUUUUUAAUUAAUAGAAUUAAAUCGUUCGCCUCUUGCUAGUGCAACUUUUCUGUUUUUUAUUUUCACUGUUUCGUCGAUCUACGUUUUAUUUUUAUCUGUUUCUUAAGAAAUUCCUAUCGCAAAUUUUGUUCUAUUCAUUUAAGAAGAAAGAGAGCUCGAUGUUGCAAUUUUAUCGUUGAUUUAAUUAAUAUGAAAAAAUAUGGGAUUGGUGAAAGAAACAUUGUAUUGAUUAUUUCGCUUGAACAGGUGCAGGAAUAACAUAGAAUAUAAAUGAAUCGACAAUGACAAUUUCACGGAUGUAUGGAAAAUGAAAGUUGAAAUGCAAAAUAAUCUCCUAUUAUCGAACUACGCUAAAGCUGAAGAUUCUCGAGAUACACUUGAGAGCAAACUUAAUUGAUACUCAUGAGUUUCUGCUAAAUUUCUGCUAAAAUUCCUCUGAGAGCAUCGACGAAGGAAGUUUACAUUUUAAAAAGACAAGUUUAUCAGGAGGAAUAAAGGAAAGCAUUCUAUUCAUCAAAGUGUCUUUUCAUGGACUGCUUAAAUCUUCUCAUAUCUAAAACCUUCAAAGUAUCACAUACCAGUUAUGGAAAUUGAUCACUAUAAUACUGUGUACAAUAAUUCUUCCAAAAAAGCAAUUAUAAAAAAAUAUAUAAUCCUAUAUAACAAUUUUUGUCUUCUAAGACAACUUCUAUAUACUUCUAUGUAUAGAAUUCUUGCCAAGGCAACAAGUUCUCAACAAGAGAUAUAACGUUAAGAUAUCAAAAUUCCUAUCUCUGUCUGCGAGGCAACGUUGAAAUGGAACAAGGAAUCGGAUGCAUCCUCUAGCGAUCCAGUGAAAAGUUGAUCCCUUAAAGAUCCGGGCACGCCCAGGAGCAACGGGCUCCGAUUCAAAGCUUGAAAAAGCUACUUACUUUCUAAAACAAAAGCUCGAAUCUCCUGCCUUUUCCAGCGAUAAAACUGCUAUCCAUCUGGACGUUGAAAAAAACGAGAGAGAGAAAUGAAAAAGAGUUCGAUAACCUGACAGCAACCUCCUCUUUAGCAAAUGUCACCACGCUGUCAGCAAGACGACGUUUCGUGGAUAAGCGGUUGCCAAGUGGAAUUGUUUGGCAUGCGCGUUGUAUUUCGAAAAGUAUCAUUGUCGUAAGAGAUGUAAUAUAGUUGGUUAAAACUUUGACUAAACCUUUGUCUUAUGAACUAACCAUUUGGCUUCGAAUAACGAGUAUGAUUCGUCAUGUUAAUAUGCUACAUAUCGUAUAUAAACAUAAUAACAAUAAUUAUUUACAGAACCGCGGAUAUUUAUACAGAUUCAUAUCUUUACGUGUAUAAUUUAAAAAGUGUAUUGUAAAUAUUUUAUAUACCUUUGCAUAUUAUACACGAUUUGUGUAUUUUUUAAAUUUAACAUUUCCCGCAAGUGUGUACAAAUCGAAAAACACUUUAUAAUAUACUGUAUAUACAAGGCAAACGACGAAAAGCUAAUUGUACUUCAUACGUCGAUUAAGUCACGUAAAACAUGUCAAUUAAAUCGAAAGAUUAAUUCACUACAGCCCGUGCCAUAGUCAGUGACAAAAUUUGUAUUUAUUUUCUUUUUUCUUUUUCUUUGCUAAUGUUUAUACUUCAAAACAUGUGACGACUCUAAUUGGCGUUUCUAAUGUUUGAAACGAUGCAAAAUAUAUCAGGCGAUAAUCUCUCAUGAUGUUAUAAGACAAGGGGUUAGUUAAAAAGGUUUAAAGGACGGUAGAGAUUGUCCUUAAUGCAUUUAGAGUUGUGUAUGUCUGAUAUAUAUAAGUGUACAUAUGCUAGCUACAAAAAGUAUUUAUUGUAAGAUUGUAUUCAUUGUAGCAUUUACAGA